UCAAGUAAUUAAGUGCAUGUGGUGGAUGCCUUGGCAGUCAGAGGCGAUGAAAGACGUGAUAGCCUGCGAAAAGCUCCGGGGAGGCGGCAAAUAUCCUUUGAUCCGGAGAUGUCUGAAUGGGGGAACCCACCUACUUUAAGGUAGGUAUUGCAACAUGAAUACAUAGUGUUGCAAGGCGAACGAGGGGAAGUGAAACAUCUCAGUACCCUUAGGAAAAGAAAUCAAUUGAGAUUCCCUCAGUAGCGGCGAGCGAACGGGGAUCAGCCCAUUAAGUUAUGUGUGUUUUAGUGGAACGCUCUGGGAAGUGCGAACGUAGAGGGUGAUAUUCCCGUACACGAAAGGGCACACAUAAUGAUGACGAGUAGGGCGAGGCACGUGAAACCUUGUCUGAAUAUGGGGGGACCAUCCUCCAAGGCUAAAUACUCCUGACUGACCGAUAGUGAACCAGUACCGUGAGGGAAAGGCGAAAAGAACCCCUGUGAGGGGAGUGAAAUAGAUCCUGAAACCGCAUGCAUACAAGCAGUGGGAGCACCUUCGUGGUGUGACUGCGUACCUUUUGUAUAAUGGGUCAGCGACUUAUAUUCAGUAGCGAGGUUAACCGUAUAGGGGAGCCGUAGAGAAAUCGAGUCUUAAUAGGGCGUUUAGUUGCUGGGUAUAGACCCGAAACCAGGCGAUCUAUCCAUGAGCAGGUUGAAGGUUGGGUAACACUAACUGGAGGACCGAACCCACUGUCGUUGAAAAGCCAGGGGAUGACUUGUGGAUAGGGGUGAAAGGCUAAUCAAGCCUGGUGAUAGCUGGUUCUCCCCGAAAGCUAUUUAGGUAGCGCCUCGGACGAAUACCAUAGGGGGUAGAGCACUGUUUCGGCUAGGGGGUCAUCCCGACUUACCAAACCGAUGCAAACUCCGAAUACCUAUGAGUACUAUCCGGGAGACAGACUGCGGGUGCUAACGUCCGUAGUCAAGAGGAAAACAAUCCAGACCGCCAGCUAAGGCCCCAAAAUCAUAGUUAAGUGGGAAACGAUGUGGGAAGGCAUAGACAGCUAGGAGGUUGGCUUAGAAGCAGCCACCCUUUAAAGAAAGCGUAAUAGCUCACUAGUCGAGUCGGCCUGCGCGGAAGAUGUAACGGGGCUAAAACUAUGUGCCGAAGCUGCGGAUGUAUACUUUGUAUACGUGGUAGGGGAGCGUUCUGUAAGCCGAUGAAGGUGUGUUGAGAAGCAUGCUGGAGGUAUCAGAAGUGCGAAUGCUGACGUGAGUAACGACAAAACGGGUGAAAAACCCGUUCGCCGAAAGACCAAGGGUUCCAGUCCAACGUUAAUCGGGGCUGGGUGAGUCGACCCCUAAGGCGAGGCCGAAAGGCGUAGUCGAUGGGAAAAUGGUUAAUAUUCCAUUACUUCUGUGUAAUGCGAUGAGAGGACGGAGAAGGCUAAAUCAGCCUGGCGUUGGUUGUCCAGGUGAAAGGAUGUAGGCAUGUAUCUUAGGCAAAUCCGGGGUACUCUAUGCUGAGAUCUGAUAGCAAGCUGUACUUGUACAGCGAAGUGGUUGAUGCCAUGCUUCCAGGAAAAGUCUCUAAGCUUCAGUUACACAGGAAUCGUACCCGAAACCGACACAGGUGGUCAGGUCGAGUAGACCAAGGCGCUUGAGAGAACUCUGCUGAAGGAACUAGGCAAAAUGGUACCGUAACUUCGGGAGAAGGUACGCUGUUGUUGGUGAUGGAACUCGCUUCCUGAGCUGACGACAGCCGCAGAAACCAGGCCGCUGCAACUGUUUAUUAAAAACAUAGCACUCUGCAAACACGAAAGUGGACGUAUAGGGUGUGAUGCCUGCCCGGUGCUGGAAGGUUAAUUGAUGGGGUUAGCGUAAGCGAAGCUCUUGAUCGAAGCCCCAGUAAACGGCGGCCGUAACUAUAACGGUCCUAAGGUAGCGAAAUUCCUUGUCGGGUAAGUUCCGACCUGCACGAAUGGCAUAAUGAUGGCGGCGCUGUCUCCAGCAGAGGCUCAGUGAAAUCGAAAUCGCUGUGAAGAUGCAGUGUACCCGCGGCUAGACGGAAAGACCCCGUGAACCUUUACUGCAGCUUGACACUGAACUUUGACCUUACUUGUGUAGGAUAGGUGGGAGGCUUUGAAGCUGGAACGCUAGUUCCAGUGGAGCCGUCCUUGAAAUACCACCCUGGUAAUGUUGAGGUUCUAACUCUGUCCCGUGAUCCGGGACGAGGACCGUGUCUGGUGGGUAGUUUGACUGGGGCGGUCUCCUCCUAAAGAGUAACGGAGGAGUACGAAGGUGCGCUCAGCGUGGUCGGAAAUCACGCGUAGAGUAUAAAGGCAAAAGCGCGCUUAACUGCGAGACCCACAAGUCGAGCAGGUACGAAAGUAGGUCUUAGUGAUCCGGUGGUUCUGUAUGGAAGGGCCAUCGCUCAACGGAUAAAAGGUACUCUGGGGAUAACAGGCUGAUACCGCCCAAGAGUUCAUAUCGACGGCGGUGUUUGGCACCUCGAUGUCGGCUCAUCUCAUCCUGGGGCUGAAGCAGGUCCCAAGGGUAUGGCUGUUCGCCAUUUAAAGAGGUACGCGAGCUGGGUUUAGAACGUCGUGAGACAGUUCGGUCCCUAUCUACCGUGGGCGCUGGAAAUUUGAGAGGAUCUGCUCCUAGUACGAGAGGACCAGAGUGGACGAACCUCUGGUGUACCGGUUGUGACGCCAGUCGCAUCGCCGGGUAGCUAUGUUCGGAAGGGAUAACCGCUGAAAGCAUCUAAGCGGGAAGCCUCCCUCAAGAUAAGAUUUCCCUAGGACUUUAUGUCCUCUAAAGAGCCGUUCGCGACUAGGACGUUGAUAGGUUGGAUGUGGAAGCAUAGUGAUAUGUGAAGCUGACCAAUACUAAUUGCUCGUGAGGCUUGACUAU
RNAcentral lists this ribosomal RNA (2891 nucleotides) under Acinetobacter baumannii 472237-1196. RNAcentral describes it as "bacterial LSU rRNA". It matches the Rfam family "Bacterial large subunit ribosomal RNA". The record is from RNAcentral. Lineage: Bacteria; Pseudomonadati; Pseudomonadota; Gammaproteobacteria; Moraxellales; Moraxellaceae.